RNAcentral lists this long non-coding RNA (334 nucleotides) under Elaeis guineensis (African oil palm). Its description in RNAcentral is "long non-coding RNA (EGUI_LNC077738)". Lineage: Eukaryota; Viridiplantae; Streptophyta; Magnoliopsida; Arecales; Arecaceae. The record is from RNAcentral.
AGAAAGUGUUAAACUAAAAUUGUUAAUCCCUCCUUCCAAAUUUUUCUAUCAUCUUUUGCCUAUAUUAUAACUCUCAAGAUGUCAUAAUAUGGUAUGAAGAAAAAAAUAUGAUAAACAUAUGAAGAAACAGAAUUAUGACAUCUCUUCUUAAAAAUUAUGAUACCUCUUUAUAGAAAUUAUGACACCCCUGCAAAAAAUACUAAAUUGAAGUUGUUAACGUCUCCAUCCAGAUCUUCCUAUCAUCAUUUGCCUAUAUCAUGAAUCAUAAAACGGUAUUGAGAAAAAAAGAUGAUGAAUAUAUAUGAAAAUAAAAUUAUGAUAUUUUUUCUUAGAA